CUUCAAAUAAACUGUUGCAUCUUGUAAUUUUUUUCUUUGAGAGCAAAAUGAUAUUUUUGAGGUGUCAUUUAAAAAAACCCGACCCUUUUGUCUGAUAGUAAGAGGUAAAUUGUUCAUACAUGGUAACUUUGAACUGUUAUGUUUUCCUAUCCCUGCCUAAACAUAAAUGGAGAAGUUGUUACAUUAAGCCAUUGCCCUGUAAUGGUUCUUUGAGAAAUGUUUAACUGUAGCUGCUGCUUUGUUGUAGUGAAAAGCUGUGAUUCAGACUUUGUACUAUGUUUUCAUUUCAGCUGUCACAGAAAGUGAAAGAUGAAGCCUCUUGUUUUCUUGGUUCUUGUGAUCUGUACUGUAGUCAGCAUGAAUUUGAAGUUCGUGUCAAAGAGAAAUUCUGGUUCUGGAUUUCAAAUUCCAGCUGUGCAGGGGGUUUGACACAACUUUGAGGCACUGCUGCUAUAUUCCUUGGCAGGUGCAGAAUAUUUGCAUUCCCAAAGGAGAAAGAAGCUUAUGAAGUGGGUGAGACAGAAAAGGCCUAAAACAGGUAUUAUUGCAAUUCACAAUGGAAAUAGAUGGGAUAUUUCUUUUGGCAGAUAAAAUUGAUU
This 599-nucleotide long non-coding RNA is filed under the name Cyanistes caeruleus (blue tit). RNAcentral describes it as "lncRNA (ENSCCEG00000020792.1)". Lineage: Eukaryota; Metazoa; Chordata; Aves; Passeriformes; Paridae. The record is from RNAcentral.